UGGAGAUUAAAAAAUAUUUUGCAUAGGAAUGUGGCAGAUUGGAACCCCUUUGAAAAGUUAGCAUUUUCCAAACCUUAGUCUUUCCUUAGUACUUCAAAAAGGCAGUGCUCGAGAACUUUUAGAAGACCAGUAUUAAAUGAAUCUACAGAGGCUGUUAUUUGGCAGGUCCAAACUGAGAAUGUUUUACCCAUGAGUAAAAUUGUGGUAGGAGAAGACUGUUAUGUGGACCACAGAAUAAGAAACCCCCUUGGACAAUAGCUCUGAUAGUCAAAUUCAGAACUGUAGCUGGUGAACACAGAUAUAUCAAUAUAUACCAUCCAUGGUGGCCAGUCCUGAUAUGUAAACAAGCUCAUUCUGGUCAAGUGAAAACCACUUAAACAGCUGGAUUGGAUUUUUCCAGUUGUUGCCUUGUCUGGCCAAGAAAGGAAGAGGAUGAUCAAGUUCUGGGGAAACCUCCGAUGUCCUCAGAAGUAUCUCAAUAGCCUCUUGGACCUGCUUCCACAAUCAGCCUGCAGCUUUGUUUUUUCAUUUUCUGUAAGGUUGGUUAGGCACAAUUGGCUGGGGAAAUACACAAGCAGAGUUUACACUGCCGCAUAAGUAGAGUCUGACAGCAGAGUUUACACUGCCGCAUAAGUAGAGUCUGACAUCUAUAAUAACCUUAGAUCUCCCAUGAUAUAGAAGAGAAAAAUAGCUUUUUGGAUUCACUGCUAAAACUGGGAUCAUAGAAUAUUAACAAUCUAUGUUUUAAACCAUUUGCAGGUGAAAAUAUUCUGUGAAUGCUGAUUAAUUUGGAUCUGUGGCACUUGACCUUGAAAUUCUGCCUUUUUCUCCUUGCUAAAGAGGGCCACAGACCAGAAUCUUUCAGUAUCAGGGAGGUUUGUCAACUCAAGGAAGUUACAGGACACCCCUUAAAAAUUUAGAUUGAAUAUAGGAAUUUUAAGAGGACCUUAUAAGCACUUAUAAACUGUUUUUCAAUUUGAAAUAAAGAUAAAUUCAGCCUCACCCCAGGCCUACAAAGUAGAGUAAGUAUUAUUAAUGCUAGGACUCAAUAGUUCCUGAACUUCCCAGUGCUUCAGUCUCAAGACAAACAGAUCUCUGAGAUCAAUAUAAAUUAUCCCCUGUCCCUUACAGAGGACUAACACAAAUAGUCCUUCUAAGUUAUAUUUACACUAGGAAGGCUUUGGACAUCCUCAUGGCCUCUUUUAAUUGUCCACACCAGCAGCUCAUGCUCAGCCAAUCCCUUGUUUUAUUCCAGUUAAGUCAUUUUUAAUUCUUUCUGAAAUCCGUUGUGAAAAUGGAAGCAUUAAGUCUAUAUCCCCAAAAUGUAGACACUUUGUAAAUAUAAUUUUCUCUAUCACCAAAGAGCACAAAAUAUUCAUCCUAGUAUUGACAUAUCUUCCUGAGAACUGGAAGCAAAACUCCAAACAGCUGAGAUCAUGAUGACAUCCUAAUCCCAGGCUGAAUUUACUGUCACUUGUAAGAACGAAAUAGUUGCUAUUCUCCUAUUUUCUGUGAAAAUGCUCUCUUCCAGAAGAGAGAGGGGUGGUGACUGAAAAAUCAGGUUCUGAAUAUUUGGAAUAUUUAUCCAAUAAUCAAAAUUAUUUCUCAUAGGAAAAAAUUCACCAACAAUUAUGUAGAAAAAAUAAGACACUCAAUAAAUCUCCCAACAUUUAUAAAUAUUUCUAACCCAAAAGGGGUGUAAUAUUGGAGGAAAGGGGUGGAUAAAGGCACAGGAACUUUAAAAAAAUACAGAUAACAAAAUAAAAUUUUAAUAACAUGCUGGCUAAUUUUGAGAACUGUCUUAGAUAUAUUAUUAAGCAGCAGCAUUUUUAUACAAUACAGAAUAAUAGUGCUAUCUUUGGAAAUAUCCUACAUUCAGAAAAAUGGUACAUUUGUAUCAGAAGAAUGGAAGUGAUUACAUAUUUACAAAGUCUGAUAAAGCAAGUGCAAACCUUGACUUGACUACUUUCUUUCUAUCCACAUGCAAUAGACCCCUCCCAUUCCUGCUCUUCAGGUCCUAUAGUCCUGUCCAUUCUGAGAAGUUAUACUGCUUCUUUCCGUACUGAAAAUAUUUCAUGAACAAUUACUCUCUUGGCAAACUUUCUUCCUAUCAUUUGUAUCUGACACUACUUUCCUGAUAACUGUCAGCUCCUAUUCCACUUUUUUUCCUCUGCCUGAUGGUUUUGUUUCCUGUAGUUAAGUAUUUGGUACAAUUGUUUAUGGAAGCCCACCCUGCAAUCUGUGGCUAAGUUUAUGUUGGAGAAAAGAAGACAUAACUUUUUUAAAAAGAGAAAAAGAAAGAUAGACAAGAAUCUUUGGUUAGUCCAAAGUUCUGUUUUGUGAACAUGGUACAAGAUUGAUGGAAAAUGCAUUAGUUUUGUUCGCCCUGUGGACAAUGAAGUUGAGAGACUUUGCUACAAUGACAGGAAGGCACUUUGGUAAAACAUUUAGAUAACUGAGGAAAGAGAGAAUUCCCUCCUGUGCAAAUGUGGCUAUUGUCCAGAUAAAGUGAGAUGAGAUUACUCACCAAAUGCUAUUAACUAUUCCAAGAUGAACCUCUUAUUUCUACAGAGAGAUUUCUUUGGGUAUUAAUGUUAUCGUGAGAAACACUGAGUGGCAAAAACAUGAAUAAUUUAAUAUAACUGGAAGCACUUUAACAUUGAUAUUUUUCUUAAUGCUUUUAUUUGGUUUAAAAGAAAAAGGAAACUAUGUAUUCAUCUUGGGAUCCCCACUGUUGCUGGGAGAAAAAUAUAAAUAUUUAUUGUAUGGUUACAUAUAAGCAAAACUUUACAUUAGGUUAAGGCUGACUCUAAAGAAUGGUGUGAAUUGACCCCUCUGGUAAGAGAUCUGAAUAGAGAUGUCAUUCAUUUCUAAUAUGUGAAAGGGGAAUAAAUCUCAUCAAGAGCUGUUCUCAGAAACUCAAGAGAUUAACUUUGGAUUGUGCAAAUGGAAAUAUCAUGCAAUGGUGAAGUUGAGUCUCUAUGAUUCUCUAUCACCAUUAAGCUCUCCUUGGGUCUCUACCAUGGCAAACUAGAAGUCAACUGCCAGAUCAACUUUGAAGAGUAUAUCAGAGUUCAUAUAUUCAAGAAUCUCAGUUGGAAGCACCAUUGGAAGCCACCUCAUGCCAGAUGGUUGAUUUCCCUCUGAUAAUUUGGUUUAGCAUCAUGACAGUGUUGAUCUUACCUCUGAAAAGAGCUGAUUGACUGUGUCAGCAUUACAAG
This is a long non-coding RNA of Sarcophilus harrisii (Tasmanian devil), 3221 nucleotides long. The record is from Ensembl. NCBI's taxonomy places the organism in Eukaryota, Metazoa, Chordata, Mammalia, Dasyuromorphia, Dasyuridae.